UUUCCGCUUAAUAGAAAUAUUUGGCUAAUCCUUUAUCGAAUCUUUUUAACCAUAUCUGGGAUAGAUGCUUGUAAUUUUUCAUCUUCAACUUGGAAUACCUAGUAAACAUAAUUCAACAAAUUAUGUUGAUUACGUCCCUGCUCUUUGUACACACCGCCCGUCGCUUCUACCGAUUGAAUUAUCCGAUGAGUUGUAAAGAGAGAGAUUUAUAUUUUAUGUAAUUCAUUCAAAUUACAACAAAUCUUAUAAUUUAGAGGAAGGAGAAGUCGUAACAAGGUAAU
RNAcentral lists this ribosomal RNA (281 nucleotides) under Climacostomum virens. Its description in RNAcentral is "partial Eukaryotic small subunit ribosomal RNA". It matches the Rfam family "Eukaryotic small subunit ribosomal RNA", at positions 1522 to 1803 of the family's 1831-position model. Lineage: Eukaryota; Ciliophora; Heterotrichea; Heterotrichida; Climacostomidae. The record is from RNAcentral.